UGUUUUCCAGCCUCUUCCCCACAGGUGCCCCCUCGUUCUCCCUCGCGUACAGGGGCUUUCUCUCUUUCUCUUUCCCUCUCCUCUUCUUGCUGAAUCUUCUCUUGACAGCAGGAGGAAAGAGGCCUAGUGAAGACACGAGAGGAGUGAAGAGGAGAGGACUACUCUACCGCCUCUCCGUGUGGUUUCCUGUUUGUAGGUGGGAGGAUGUAAAGACGGUUGCUGCAGCGUUCGCAGAGUUGCAGCUUUUUAACACCCGGCAACAAACUGAGAUGUCACAUUUGCGUGUCCUGAUUGGUUCGGGGUGUUUGUGUGGAGCUUUUUUUCUGACAUUUUGCUGCUGUAAGCUGCAGGGCCCCCCUUUUCCAAUUUCCACCGCCAGUUGCAAGUUGCAGUUGAGUGACUGAGAAAGGGCAGUUUAAUCAACCCACACACCUCGUUCCUCACGAGAGAGAUGUGAGCUUUUACGGUAGUUGUUUUGGUUAGUGACUCACCUUGUUGAAGAAUCACUGAGGAAGACGAACUAUCAGAGGAUCUGUGGCGGGAGGCAAAACGAAACCCAUCAUCUCAGCUCGGGAGGUGAUUGGGUGCAGUGCUGACGAAGAGGGAGGGAGGAAUCGGCCAAGUAGGUUGCUGAAGGUGCAGAUCAGACACCAGAGCAGCUAAUCGACGAGUCAAAGUCGAGGUGCAGUGUAAAUAGGUCCAAGGUGAGCAAAGACGUCCUCAAACAUGACGGAUGACGGGCUACAUUAGGCGUCACAUGUGGACCAGAUACUGUGGGGGGACACGAGACCAGCUGCAGGCCCCAGAACUUCACCAAUCCUCUGUCGUCCGCCUAAUCGUGUCUUCAGUCCAAGGUUGUCCUCAGGUGUAGAUGAGCCAUGGACGCCUCCUGGUUCCUCCUGGUUGUGUCUGCCGCCCUUUUGGUGUCCAUGGUCCUGCUGGUCAUCAUGUGUCUGGACUGCAGGAGAAAAGGUCCCCUGGUCUCCAUCAGAGAAACAGAUCCCUCAGAUGAAUACAUAAAUCCCCCACCAAUAACUCAUCCAUUUGGCGUCCAGCUAACCACCGAUCUGAGAUCCAUCCGUUCUCCCUCCAGCUUGCUGUCCCCUUUGUCUUCAGCCGACGCUGGCUCUCACUGGCUACACAGAUCCGUCACCCCAACAGAGACAGAAAGUAAUCCAAGUUAUGAGAAUCCAGUUCAAGACGGACCUGUGGACAGCGAUGUAGAAGACCCUGGAUACAUAAUCGUGUUGCCUAAUGAAGACGUUUCUCCUUCGAACAAUCAGAGCCGAGCAUCAACCCCCAGUUUAGGUACAGAUAGAAAAUCGAAAUGA
Molecule: long non-coding RNA, 1331 nt
Filed under: Betta splendens (Siamese fighting fish)
Lineage: Eukaryota; Metazoa; Chordata; Actinopteri; Anabantiformes; Osphronemidae
Description: lncRNA (ENSBSLG00000012599.1)
Source: RNAcentral